Long non-coding RNA from Mirounga angustirostris (Northern elephant seal), 9905 nucleotides. RefSeq lists it as uncharacterized. Lineage: Eukaryota; Metazoa; Chordata; Mammalia; Carnivora; Phocidae. The record is from RefSeq and is a predicted model, not a curated record. The transcript has 3 exons.
CGUAGCUGCGCGCCUGGUGGAGGCUAGAGAGAGAGCACAAGCAGGCAGAGGGAGAGGGAGAAGCAGGCUUCCCGCAGAGCUGGGAGCCCGACGUGGGGCUCGAUCCCAGGACCCCAGGACCAUGACCUGAGCCGAAAGCAGCCGCUGAACCGACUGAGCCACCCAGGCGCCCCGGCAAAUUCUUUUCUGAAAGCAAGUUUACUAAGGGUGGAGAGAACAGACCAUAAAAACUAUUCAUUGAUGGGGUGAGGAGGGUGUUGGAGGAUCUCAUUUGUCUUCCGUCCGGUGUGGCUGGACCAGUACUCAGUCUGAAGGCGACUCCGUGGGGUUCUGAACUCACCUGUUCACAGUGAUGUCGUCUUGCUGACUCCCUGCAAGAGCAGGAGCCCUGGCCGAAUUUUCUGGGGUGGCCCCAGUGAGGCUACUGGUGGCUUACCUUGCUUUCAGGGAGACAAGGUGGCCAAAAUCAAAAGUUUUUGGUGGUGUUUUUUAUGAUAUAAAAUAGAGAAAUGAUUUUAAGUAGAACUACUCUCGAUUAUAUUAUUAACGUUUUAAUUACGAAGUUCGUAUUAGUAAAAUUUUGAUGAAAUUCAUGAUACAUUCACCAGUUAGGAAUGCUUUUGGCUGUAUAACUAACAGAUUACCUGACCAACAGUAGCUUAAACCAGAGGAAUGUCAUUUAUUCUUUACCAUAAAGCACUGGUCACACUUUCUUACCCCAUGCACAAAAAUAAACUCAAAAUGGAUGAAAGACCUAAAUGUGAGACAGGAAUCCAUCAAAAUCCUAGAGGAGAACACAGGCAGCAACCUCUGUGACCUUGGCCACAGCAACUUCUUGUUAGACAUGUCUCUUGAGGCAAGGGAAACAAAAACAAAAAUGAACUGUUGGGACUUCAUCAGGAUAAAAAGCUUCUGCACAGUGAAGGAAACAGUCGACAAAACUAAAAGGCAACCUGUGGAAUGGGAGAAAAUAUUUGCAAAUGUCUUAUCAGAUAAAGGGCUAGUAUCCAAAAUCUAUGAAGAACUUAUCAAAUUCAGCACCCCAAAACCGAAAAAUCUAGUCAAGAAAUGGGCAGAAAACAUGAACAGACACUUCUCCAAAGAAGACAUCCACAUGGCCAACAGACACAUGAAAAGGUGCUCAACAUCGCUCGGCAUCAGGGAAAUCCAAAUCAAAACCUCAAUGAGAUACCACCUCACACCAGUCAGAAUGGCUAAAAUUAACAAGUCAGGAAACUACAGAUGUUGGCAAGGAUGCGGAGAAAGGGGAACCCUCCUACACUAUUGGUGGGAAUGCAAGCUGGUGCAGCCACUCUGGAGAACAGUAUGGAGGUCCCUCAAGAAGUUGAAAACAGAGCUACCGUAUGAUCCAGCAAUUGCACUACUGGGUAUUUACUCCAAAUAUACAAAUGUGAAAAGAAGGGGCACCUGCACCCCAAUGUUUAUAGCAGCAAUGUCCACAAUAGCUGAACUGUGGAAAGAGCUGAGAUGUCCACUGACAGAUGAAUGGAUAAAGAUGUGGUGUAUUUAUACAAUGGAAUAUUAUGCAGCCAUCAAAAAACGAAAUCGUGCCAUUUGCAAUGAUGUGGCUGGAACUAAAGCAUAUUAGGUUAAGUGAAAUAAGUCAGUCAGAGAAAGACAAAUACCAUACGAUUCCACUCAUACAUGGAAUUUAAGAAACUAAACAGAUGAACAUAGGGGAAGGGAAGGAAAAAUAAGAGGAAAACAGGAAGACAAACCAUAAGAAACUUUUUAAAAAAAUUUUUUUAUUGUUAUGUUAAUCCCCAUACAUUACAUCAUUAGUUUUAGAUGUAGUGUUCCAUGAUUCAUUGUUUGUGCAUAACACCGAGUGCUCCAUGCAGAAUGUGCCCUCCUCAAUACCCAUCACCAAGCUAACCAAGUUUGUUUUUCCGAGUCCAUCGUCUCUUAUGGUUCAUCUCCCCCUCCGAUUUCCCCCCCUUUAUUCUUCCCCUCCUACUACAUUCUUCUUCUUCUUUUUUUUUCUUUCUUAACAUAUAUUGCAUUAUUUGAAGAAACUCUUAAUCAUAGGAAAAAACUGAGGGUUGCUGGAGGGGAGGUGGGUGGGGGGAUGGGGUAACUGAGUGAUGGGCAUUAAGGAGGGCACUUGAUGGAAUGAGCACUGGGUGUUAUAUGCAACUGACGAAUCACUGAAUUCUACCUCUGAAAUGAAUACUACAGUAUGUGUCAAUUGAACUCAAAUAAAAAAUUUAAAAAUACAUUCUGGUUCAAUGGGUUAUCCAAAUAAAAAAAAAGGAAAUAAAAUUAUAUCACUACUUAUAUCAUACACAAAGUAAAUUCCAGUUGGAUAAGCCUUCGGUGGGCUCCAUGCUGGGUGUGGAGUCUACUUAAAAAUUUUUUUGGGGGGUCUUGAUUUAGCUCUAUUUUUAGAAUGCGAUCCCCCGGGAGAAGGAAGAAGUGUCGGGGAAACAGAGAAGGGCAAGGAUGCCCGUUGGGAUGUGGCAAUCCCAACGUUGCGCGCACCACACCACACAAGCAGGCCUUGCGACAUAGCGCCAGUUCGCAACUUUCUCCACCGCGGGCUCCCCUCGGCGCGUCCCCGUGGUGCACUUCGCCUACUCAGCAGAGGGUGGUCUGCUGGCCAGUUUCUGUUCUCACCAGAGUCCAGGGGCAGGAACCUCAGCUGUUUGAACCUGGGCUCUUCCCCUCAUUUGGAAUAUGGGCUGGGGGCAUGUCGUCAGGGUGCGGUGGAAACCCAGGGAUGGAGGCCACAUCACAGCGUGGUCAGGCCCGGAGGAAGUGCAUUCAGCCGUCUGAAUCACCACUUUGGGGUGGGCUGGGACAGACAGUUCGAAACUUCUGAUCUUCGUACAUUUGUGGAGUACUUCACAGUCUUUCCGAGAGCGUUUUCAUCCAUAUCUGAUCUGAUCCUCAUAAGCACGGUCCCUGGAGCAGUCCAGUUUCCAGUCCACGAUGGGAGCCCCCCUGGGUCACUGUAAUAGGACCACUCUUCAUCACACAGACCUAUACUGAACACCUCCCGUGUGCCCGAGGUUUUCGCAGGCUCUGGUGUCACCAGGAUGAACAGCUGUCCCUGUUUUGAGCUGCUUAGAGUCUGGUAAUUAUGAUUAAGUUUCUAUUUAUAUUUCAUCGAGAACAGUUUGGAUCACUGGAGAGUGGAAGAGAUGCUGAGAGACCAUCUAGGCAGCUCAUCAGUGGACGAGGGAACUGAGGUCCAGAAGCUCUGUGGCCUGGUGUAGCUGCCUCGGCGGCAGGGUCCAGGCUCCUCGCUCCCAGGCCGGGCCCCUUCCUCCCCCACUCCCACUGGCUAAGCUUGGGAGAUCAGACAAAUCUGGUUCCCAGUAGUCGAGAUACGAAACCUAGAUCCUCCAUAGGUUCCCGAGAACUGCUUUUUGUCAUAGUAAUUUCAAGUGCCUCGCUCAUUUCGAUAUUUAUUAUAGGUCCAAUGGCGUCACUCCAUUAACUUCUCCCUAGAACCGGAUGCUUUUAACAUCACGAGACACUUUCACGCUUUUAGUGGGCUUUGCUUUGUGUGCUGUGUGAAGACCGUGUUACACUGUUUUCAAGCCCAGGAGUGAGCUGCUUAGCCUGAAGAUUGUAGGUUUUCAUGGGAACAUGACAGUUGCUUACAGAUACUGGAGAGCAAGCCUCUCUUGCUGGAAUGGGGUACAGGCUUGUUCUGUCCCCAGCAGCAAAAUGAGAGCCCACGGGGGAGAGUUACGGGAAGAGGUGUUUGGCUCAGUGUAAGAAAGUCUGGCCAACAGCACUGUCUAAAAAGGGAUCAAGCAGCCUGAAGCUGCAGGUUUGAGCUGAGGCUCUCCAGGAGGGCUGUCAGAGAGGGGUUCCUAGAUUCAGGGGGGAAAUGGCCUGAGGGACAUCCGAGGUUUAGAUGGAGCAAGGUGAGCUGGUUCAUUGCUGGGAACACCUCCCAGUUGCUGCUCCUCAUUUAGAGGCUAUUCCAGCAGCAGCAGAUGCCCAGGUGAGGGCAGGUGGAGCAGCUUGGAGCUUGAAAGCCCUUUGCUACCCCUGCCUUAGCCAUUCAGCCACGUCUAGCCUGCAAGUCUGAAAAAUAUCAUUUAGCCAGGCAGCUAAAAACGGGCUCUGCUGUGAAGGAAGACGGGAUGCAUGAUGGUUAAUUUUAUGUGUUGACCUGACUGCACCAAGGGAUGCCCAGAUCGCUGGUAAGACAUUAUUUCUGGGCACGGCCAUGAUGUUUCUAGAAGAGAUUACAUUUGAUGUGAGGGGUAGAGUAAAGCAGAUGACUCUCCCCACUGUGGUGGGGCAUCAUCCUAUCCACUGAGAUCCUGAAUGGAACAAGAAGGUGGAGGAGGGGUAAAUGUGCUCUGUCUGCUUGAGCCAACACAUCCAUCUCCUCCUGUCUUUGGACAUUGAUGCUCCUGGUUCUUAGGCUUUCAGACUCAGACUGAAUUACACUGGCUUUCCUGGUGCUCCAGCUUGCAGGUGGCAUAUCGUGGGACUUCUUGGCCCCCAGAACCAUAUGAGCCAAUUACUAUAAUAUCUCUUCUCAUACAUACAUGCUUUCAACCUUAAAAAUAAAAAUAACCAGGGGCGCCUGGGUGGCUCACUCAAUUAAGCGACAGACUCUCAGUUUUGGCUUAGGUCAUGAUUUCAGGGUCGUGAGACUGAGCCCUGUGAAGGGCUCUGCACUCAGCGUGGAGUCUGCUUGAGCUUCUCUCUCUCCCUCUGCCCCCUCCCCCUGCUUAUGUGCUUGCUCUCUCUUUCUUGCAAAUAAAUAAAUAAAAUCUUAAAAAACAAAACAAAACCCAGGUAGUUUACCAGCAAAAUGAGUUUAUUUGGGAAUAGCAGAGCAAUUGCAAUUUGGGACAUGCACACUGUGGUAAAUCACAAGCAAACCUGGAGAACAAGGGAGGGGAGCAUUCUUUUAUGGAGAAGAGAGGGGAGUUGGAAGGGCUGGUUUUGUCAAAAGCCCGAUCCAUGGGAGGAAACUGGGAGUUUGAAGUGUAGUGGCUUCUCAUUGGCUAGGCUGUUGCUGGACAAGGAGAGAAAGCUCCCUUAGUCCUCUGGGGAUGUAAAGUCCACCUCUUCUUGCCCAGGAAUGUGGAAUAAGCUGCCCAGGUGGUGCGUGCUCAAGAGCCCCCCCUUCUGGGCCUCCUGACUCCAUUUAAAAUGUUUCCCUUCCUUAAUUUUCACCCACCCUCCGUCACUCCCUCCUUCUCUCUCUCUCCUUCCUUCAAGAGCCCUAACUAAUACAGGAAGUAAUGAAACCUCCCAAAUAUGUGAUUGAUUUCACUGCAUGGGAAGGAAUGGACAAGGAGGAGGAACCGGGAAACUGUCCAUUUUCUAAUGUCGGCGCCAGCACCUGGUGUAGGGUUCAGAGAGAGGCAGAUUCUGUAGAAAGCUGAAGGCUCCGUCUGCACAGAGCUCUUGGCCACCAGAUACUGCAUGUACCACGGGCCAGGUCCUCUGCUCUGCACUGUGCAUAACCCUCUGUUAUAGGUGGUGGGCAUUGUCCCUGAUUUAUAGCCGCAUGAAGUCACUGCCGCCGUGCCUGGUGAACCCGCUUGGUGUGAAGUGAUUUGUUGGAAGUCCUCAGACUCUGCCUCUCUACCGCCACCGCUCAUGCUCUUGGUGCCCUGGGCCUCGGUGGGGAGCUCUGGGCCGACCAUGGCUUCUCCAACUAUCUCAAGUCUCUUGCAUUUGCUUUUCCCUACUCUUCCUAUCAUGCUCUUCUCCUUGGUCUAGUUAACUACCCUGUUGUAACUUUAACAGGUUUCAUAGCUUCAUUUCUCAGCUUUCUGUCUCUCAUCUAACUGUCAUUGAUUUUUUUUCCUUUUUUUAUUGAGUUAAAAUCACAUAAUAUAAAACCAUUUUAUUUUUAAAGUUUAAUUUUACUUAAAUUCAACUAAUUAGCAUAUACUAUGUUAUUAGUUUCAGAGGUAGAGGUCAGUGAUUCAUCAGUUGCAUAGAACACCCAGUGCUCAUUACAUCAUGUGCCCUCCUUCAUGCCCAUCCCCCAGUUACCCCAUCACCCACCCACCUCCCCUGCAGCAACCCUGUUUGUUUCCUAGAGUUAAGAGUCUCUUAGUGUUUGUCUCCCUCUCUGAUUUCGCCUUGUAAAACCAACCAUGUUAAAGUGCACAGUUGAGUAACAUUUACACAUUCACAGUGUUGAGCAACCAUCACCUCUGUCAUCACUCCAAAAGGAAGCCCCAUCCCCAUGAAGCAGGCCCUCCCCCUUCACCCCUUCCCCCAGGCACUGGCUGUCACAAAUCUGCCUUCUGUCUCUAUGGAUUUACCAAUCCUAGAGAUUUUAUGUCAGUGGACUCAUGUGAUACAUGACUUUUUGUGUCUGCUUCCUUUCACUUAGCAUAAUCGUAUGAGUUUGCUUGGGCUGCUCUAACAAACUAUCAUGGGGGGCUUAAACCACAGAAAUUUAUUUUCUCACAGUUCUGGAGGCUGGAAGUCCAAGAUGAGGUUUGGUGUUUCCUGGGGCCUCCCUCCUUGGCUUGUAGAUGACCACCGGCUGGCCGUGUCCCCGUAUGGUCUUUCCUCUGUGUGCACACAUGCCUGGAGUCUCUGUGUGCCCAAAUUUCUGCUUCUCGCAGAGAAAUUCAUCAAGAGAGAGAGACAGCGAGAGAAGGAACACAAGCAGGGGGAGUAGGAGAAGGAGAAGCAGGCUUCCUGCGGAACAGGGAGCCCGACGUGGGGCUCGAUCCCAGGACCCUGGGAUCAUGACCUGAGCUGAAGGCAGGCGCUUAACCAACUGAGCCACCCAGGCGCCCAAAUGUAUUGCUCAGUCUUCUUAUCGCCCUCCAGUGGCUUCCUAGCUUUCUCAGAAGAGGAACCAGCCUUCCAGAUCGAUCUAUAAGGUGCUCCACCUACCUCCUCACGCUGAAGCCCUCCCUGUUCCACCCACCCUGGCGCUAUCCCACAUCAAGAUCCCACUCCAGAGCCUUUGUUCCUAUUUCCUCUCCUUGGACGGCUCUUACUCCAGAUGUCUAGAAGGGAGAUCGAAGACGGCUAACAUAUGGAACGUAAAAGAGCUCAGUGUGUAACAACGUAACGUGGAGAUGACGAUAUUUUGGAUUUAUGACGUUAACUAAAAUAUAUUACUGAUGCUAGUUUCACCUGUUUCUUUCUACUACUACAAAAUCUUAAGCUAAGAUUGUAGCUCCUGUGGUAUGGCAUAGAGAUGUCAGGCUAUUGACAACCUGGGUGAAGCAACCAUUCUGUAAAAAUGUAUUACUGACAAUAGAAAUUUGAGAUUUAUCUAAUAAUUUGGAUAAUGUUGGAGACGUAGGAGUAUUUCUUCUUUCUUUCUUUCCCUUUACUAAUAAAUUAGGACAUUCUAAGACCUUUGGCAAGUACACAAAAGCCCAAGGUCUCCUUCACCUCUUUUUUCUUUUUUUUAAUGCUGAUGCAGUUUCCUUUCACAAAACUGUUACUUCUUUAUUUUUUUUUAAAAAUUUAAAUUCAAUUAAUUAAUAUACAGUGUAUUAUUAGUUUCAGAGGUAGAGUUUAGUGAUUCAUCAGUUGUAUAUAACACCCAGUACUCAUUCCAUCGUGUGCCCUCCUUAAUGCCCAUCACCCAGUUACCCCACCCCCAACCCACCUAACUUCCAGGAACCCUGUUUGUUUCCUAGAGUUAAGAGUCUCUUAUGGUUUGUCUCCCUCUCUAUUUUCCUCCCUUCCCCUAUCCUCUGUUUUGUUUCUUAAAUUCCACAUACGAGUGAAAUAUUAUAAUUGUCUUUCGCUGACUGACUUAUAUCACUUACCAUAAUACCCUCUAGUUUUAUCUUUGUCGUUGCAAAUGGCGAGAUUUCAUUUUUUUUUGAUGUCUGAGUAAUAUUCCAUUGUAUAUAUAUACAUAUCUUCUUUAUCCAUUCAUCUCUCGAUGGACAUCUGGGCUCUUUCCAUAUUUUGGCUCUUGUGGACAUGGCGGCUAUAAACUUUGGGCUAUUUGUUUUUCUGCGCCAUGAGCCUUUCCUACAUCGUAAGGUGAAGGCUCUCCAGAUGUGCCUGCUGGAGUACAAAGAUGUGUGAAUCUCUGCGGGGCUGGCUUUGUUUUCAUCUGUUAAAUAGCACCUUCCCUUGUAGGAUCAUGUGAAAGCUUUUAGGUAUGAAUCCUCACAGCAGUUUCUGAAGAUGAUUCUGCAUCUUAUUUCCAUACCAUAGCAUUUCAAGACCGUCAUCAAAAACCACUUGGAUUCAAGAUUUUGUUGUUAGCAUUGUUAUUGGGAAGGCAAUUGCAUGUCCCACUUGGAAGGCGAUUGAAAUGGGAGAGGCUUGAAAGACUACCAGGCUCGUUGAAGAUCAUGUUUUUUAUUCCUUGGCUCAUUAGCUAUGUGAUCACAAGCAAGGAAUUGAAUAUUUCUGAGCCUCAGUUUCCUUAACUAUAAGGAACAAAAGGAGGAGUGAGUGAGUUUGUGUGUGUGCGUGCAUGCACACUGGGGGGACACUAUGAAAUUCCAGAGUAAUUCGUAAUUCUGGCAAGGACCACAUCUUACUUGUCCUUAUCCUCCCUGGUACAGUGGCUCUCGGUGAAUACUUGUUGAAUGUGGGAAGAAAUCAGAGAUGUUAACUUCAUUCCAUGUGUCCUCUUGGACUCAGAGAAAAACUGAAGAACCAUGAGAUGGAUAUGAAAUUACCAGCUGAUCUGCCCCCAUUAUGUGCAAACGUUUCUUACUGUUCCCAAGGGACCUCCCCACAGCCUGCAUUUACCUACCACUUCUCUCUUCGUUCUGUUUUUAUUCUCAGACAUGGACAUUUCCCCCUCUGGUCUUAAGUUACAAGCUCUUGGGCGUGGGAGCUUUUUUCUUUGUAAUACUCAGCAUGAGGCUGGGCACACAACACCAUGAUGACAAGCUAUUUGCCCACCCACUUCUCUUCCCUGGCGGGACCCAAAGAUCAUUGAGAUCCCAGCACAGUUUGCUCCUUGCAGCAGCUGACACACAGUCGCUGCUGUGAGUAUGUAAUAAACGCUAGACACCAGAAGAUGGGCAGUGAGCUUCUCAAAUCGUCCCCCAUCCUUGUGCUCUGUUCCCCUUAGGGAAAGACAGGGUCAGCGAGGACCUCUUGGAGCCCUCAGCUGAACUCUGCAUGAUUGUCUUUCCCUUAUUUUGUUUUAGGCGUGCACAUUGGGGACAAACUACAAACCCAUUGAUAUUUUCCCGAAGAUCUAUGCAAAGCCCAGAAAUAGAAUCCUUUCCCCCUAAAUUAAAACACAGCUUGAGCUUGAUUCUGUUUUUCCACAGGUACAGGAUUCAUGCAAAUUCUGUUUGUGUAUGUGUGUCAUUUGCAAGAAGCUAAGAUGUUAGGAACAUAUGCAAAUCACCACAGAGUUCUUGACUACCUCUCUGCCAGUUCCCUUCUCCCUCAAUGCCUGGACUGACACAAUCUGGGUCUUUGUUUUAUGCAGGAUUUGAGGAAACUGAACUCUCACUGAUUUUAAAUAUUUUGUUUUCUUAAAGUUUUUUGUUUGGAAAUAUAAGAAGUUACAAAAUAGUUCGUAGAGUCCCAUGGACCCUUCACUCAGCUUCCUCUGUUGGGGACAUCUUACGUGACUGCAAAUAUCAAAACCAGGAAAUUAACAUUGGUAUGAUCCCGUGAACUAGACUUUAGGGUAUCUGGUUUUUAAAAAGCACAAAUAUUUUGAAGUCACAAAAUAAUACUUUUAAAACACAAAUAAUUUAUGUCCUGGUCUUGGGUGAGGAGGUCGACCAGGAGUGUAAGAUACUCUGAGAGCAGUAGCUAGGCUUGAUGCUGGGUAAGAAACACCGACAGGCAGUUUUAAGAGACUGGUCCCAAGCUCAGGGGCGUGCCCUAAGGAAAGUGGAGAAACACAGCCUGGGCGGAGGGAGAUGGGAACUUGCUGUAGGGUUCAGUGGGACUUGGGCAGCCCACUUUUCAUCUCUUCACCCAGA